This 72-nucleotide transfer RNA is filed under the name Camelus bactrianus (Bactrian camel). It matches the Rfam family "tRNA". From Rfam's summary of the family: Transfer RNA (tRNA) molecules are approximately 80 nucleotides in length. Their secondary structure includes four short double-helical elements and three loops (D, anti-codon, and T loops). RNAcentral also lists the same sequence under 1 other name. Lineage: Eukaryota; Metazoa; Chordata; Mammalia; Artiodactyla; Camelidae. The record is from Rfam by way of RNAcentral.
GGUGGUAUAGCUCAGUGGUAGAGCACAUGCUUACCAUGCAGGAGGUUCUGGGUUCAAGUCCCAGUACCUCCA